Molecule: ribosomal RNA, 216 nt
Filed under: uncultured fungus
Lineage: Eukaryota; Fungi
Description: partial small subunit ribosomal RNA
Rfam family: Eukaryotic small subunit ribosomal RNA (bases 41-216)
Source: RNAcentral
GGAUUAGUAGUCUGGUCGUGCCACUGGUAUGUACUGGCCCUACUGAUUCCUCCUUCUUGAAGAACUGUAAUGCCAUUAAUUUGGUGUUGCAGGGAAACAGGACUGUUACUUUGAAAAAAUUAGAGUGUUUAAAGCAGGCUAACGCUUGAAUACAUUAGCAUGGAAUAAUGAAAUAGGACGAUCGAUCCUAUUUUGUUGGUUUCUAGGAUUGACGUA